RNAcentral lists this ribosomal RNA (652 nucleotides) under uncultured organism. RNAcentral's name for it is "bacterial SSU rRNA". It matches the Rfam family "Bacterial small subunit ribosomal RNA", at positions 847 to 1495 of the family's 1533-position model. The record is from RNAcentral.
CGUAUCUACCGGGUUAACUAUAGCUCCUGGAGCGUAUGCAUGCAAGUGUGAACCUCAGGGAGUACGGCCGGGAGGUUGCACAUCAAGUGAAAGUAUCGGGGGCAAUGCACAAGCAACGGGAGCAUGUCUUUUCAUGGCUUGCAACGCGCAGAACCCCGGUGAAACCUGGGAGUGCCUUCGGGAUCCAGAGAACAGAUUGGUGCAUGGCUGUCGUCAGCCAGGGUCUUGAGAUGUUGGGUUAAGUCCCGUCACGAGAGCAUCGCUUAUCUCUAGCUACCAGCACUACGUUUGUCACUCUAGAGCGACUCCCUGUGACAAACCGUCUGGAGGAGCGGCUGGCGUCAAGUCGGAGGAAGGCGGGGAUUCUGGCAGGCACUCAUGCUACUUACGUGUAGGCCGACACAAGUGCUACAAUGGCAGCAACAAUGGGAUAAUCCCCAAAAGCUGUCUCAGUUCGGAAGUCGCCUGCAACUCGCCGGAAGGAAGUAUGAAUCGCUAGUAAUCGUGGAUCAGCAUGCCACGGUGAAUUCGUUCCCGGGCCUCGCACACACCCCCGUCACAUCAUGGGAGUUGGUUCUCGACGAAGUCCCCCACUCUUUCGGGAGGCAACGGGCCACGGCAGGAUCAGCGACUGGGGUGAAGUCGUAACAAG